ACCCGCACAAGCGGUGGAUGAUGUGGAUUAAUUCGAUGCAACGCGAAAACCUUACCUACCCUUGACAUGUCCGGAAUCCCGAAGAGAUUUGGGAGUGCUCGCAAGAGAGCCGGAACACAGGUGCUGCAUGGCUGUCGUCAGCUCGUGUCGUGAGAUGUUGGGUUAAGUCCCGCAACGAGCGCAACCCUUGUCAUUAGCUGCCAUCAUUUGGUUGGGCACUCUAAUGAGACUGCCAGUGACAAACCGGAGGAAGGUGGGGAUGACGUCAAGUCCUCAUGGCCCUUAUGGGUAGGGCUUCACACGUCAUACAAUGGUCGGUACAGAGGGUUGCCAACCCGCGAGGGGGAGCUAAUCCCACAAAGCCGAUCGUAGUCCGGAUCGCAGUCUGCAACUCGACUGCGUGAAGUCGGAAUCGCUAGUAAUCGUGGAUCAGCAUGUCACGGUGAAUACGUUCCCGGGUCUU
This 463-nucleotide ribosomal RNA is filed under the name uncultured Rhodocyclaceae bacterium. RNAcentral's name for it is "bacterial SSU rRNA". It matches the Rfam family "Bacterial small subunit ribosomal RNA", at positions 919 to 1382 of the family's 1533-position model. Lineage: Bacteria; Pseudomonadati; Pseudomonadota; Betaproteobacteria; Rhodocyclales; Rhodocyclaceae. The record is from RNAcentral.